RNAcentral lists this ribosomal RNA (1470 nucleotides) under metagenome. RNAcentral describes it as "bacterial SSU rRNA". It matches the Rfam family "Bacterial small subunit ribosomal RNA". The record is from RNAcentral.
AGAGUUUGAUCAUGGCUCAGGACGAACGCUGGCGGCACGCUUGACACAUGCAAGUCGAACGAGAGAAGAGGAGCUUGCUUUUCUGAUCUAGUGGCGGACGGGUGAGUAACACGUGAGCAAUCUGCCUUUCAGAGGGGGAUACCGAUUGGAAACGAUCGUUAAUACCGCAUAACAUAAUUGAACCGCAUGAUUUGAUUAUCAAAGAUUUAUCGCUGAAAGAUGAGCUCGCGUCUGAUUAGCUAGUUGGUAAGGUAACGGCUUACCAAGGCGACGAUCAGUAGCCGGACUGAGAGGUUGAUCGGCCACAUUGGGACUGAGACACGGCCCAGACUCCUACGGGAGGCAGCAGUGGGGAAUAUUGCACAAUGGAGGAAACUCUGAUGCAGCGAUGCCGCGUGAGGGAAGAGGGUUUUAGGAUUGUAAACCUCUGUCUUCAGGGACGAAAAAAGACGGUACCUGAGGAGGAAGCUCCGGCUAACUACGUGCCAGCAGCCGCGGUAAUACGUAGGGAGCGAGCGUUGUCCGGAAUUACUGGGUGUAAAGGGAGCGUAGGCGGGAUCGCAAGUCAGAUGUGAAAACUAUGGGCUUAACCCAUAAACUGCAUUUGAAACUGUGGUUCUUGAGUGAAGUAGAGGUAAGCGGAAUUCCUAGUGUAGCGGUGAAAUGCGUAGAUAUUAGGAGGAACAUCAGUGGCGAAGGCGGCUUACUGGGCUUUAACUGACGCUGAGGCUCGAAAGCGUGGGGGGCAAACAGGAUUAGAUACCCUGGUAGUCCACGCCGUAAACGAUGAUUACUAGGUGUGGGGGGACUGACCCCUUCCGUGCCGCAGCAAACGCAAUAAGUAAUCCACCUGGGGAGUACGACCGCAAGGUUGAAACUCAAAGGAAUUGACGGGGGCCCGCACAAGCAGUGGAGUAUGUGGAUUAAUUCGAAGCAACGCGAAGAACCUUACCAGGUCUUGACAUCGUAUGCAUAGCUCAGAGAUGAGUGAAAUCUCUUCGGAGACAUAUAGACAGGUGGUGCAUGGUUGUCGUCAGCUCGUGUCGUGAGAUGUUGGGUUAAGUCCCGCAACGAGCGCAACCCUUACUGUUAGUUGCUACGCAAGAGCACUCUAGCAGGACUGCCGUUGACAAAACGGAGGAAGGUGGGGAUGACGUCAAAUCAUCAUGCCCCUUAUGACCUGGGCCUCACACGUACUACAAUGGCUGUCAACAGAGGGAAGCAAAGCCGCGAGGUGGAGCGAACCCCUAAAAGCAGUCUUAGUUCGGAUUGUAGGCUGCAACCCGCCUACAUGAAGUCGGAAUUGCUAGUAAUCGCAGAUCAGCAUGCUGCGGUGAAUACGUUCCCGGGCCUUGUACACACCGCCCGUCACGCCAUGGGAGUCGGUAACACCCGAAGCCUGUAGUCUAACCGCAAGGAGGACGCAGUCGAAGGUGGGAUUGAUGACUGGGGUGAAGUCGUAACAAGGUA